RNAcentral lists this unclassified non-coding RNA (227 nucleotides) under uncultured fungus. Its description in RNAcentral is "sequence contains ITS1, 5.8S rRNA gene". The stretch from base 179 to 227 matches the Rfam family "5.8S ribosomal RNA", at positions 1 to 49 of the family's 154-position model. Lineage: Eukaryota; Fungi. The record is from RNAcentral.
UCUCCGUAGGUGAACCUGCGGAGGGAUCAUUACUGAGUGAGGGUUUAACCGCCCGACCUCCAACCCCAUGUGAACCGAAACCUGUUGCUUCGGGGGCGACCCUGCCUUCGUGCGAGGCGCCCCCGGAGGCUCAUCAAACACUGCAUCUCUGCGUCGGAGUAUUAGUAAAUCUAAUCAAAACUUUCAACAACGGAUCUCUUGGUUCUGGCAUCGAUGAAGAACGCAGC